AGCAGCCGCGGUAAUUCCAGCUCCAAUAGCGUAUAUUAAAGUUGUUGCAGUUAAAAAGCUCGUAGUUGAAUUUCGGGAUCAAAGGAUCGGUCAUGCCUUGGUAUGUACUGGUUUUAUUGGUUCUCACCUUCUAAAGAACCAUAAUGUCAUUCAUUUGAUGUUGUGGGGAAUCAGGACUGUUACUUUGAAAAAUUAGAGUGUUUAAAGCAGGCAUAAGCUUGAAUACAUUAGCAUGGAAUAAUGAAAUAGGACGUUUGAUCCUAUUUUGUUGGUUUCUAGGAUCGACGUAAUGAUUAAUAGGGAUAGUUGGGGGCAUUAGUAUUCAAUUGUCAGAGGUGAAAUUCUUGGAUUUAUUGAAGACUAACUACUGCGAAAGCAUUUGCCAAGGAUGUUUUCAUUAAUCAAGAACGAAGGUUAGGGGAUCGAAGACGAUCAGAUACCGUCGUAGUCUUAACCAUAAACUAUGCCGACUAGGGAUCGGAUGAUGUUAAUUUUUAAUGACUCAUUCGGCGUCCG
Molecule: ribosomal RNA, 516 nt
Filed under: uncultured Glomus
Lineage: Eukaryota; Fungi; Glomeromycota; Glomeromycetes; Glomerales; Glomeraceae
Description: SSU rRNA
Rfam family: Eukaryotic small subunit ribosomal RNA
Source: RNAcentral